This 484-nucleotide ribosomal RNA is filed under the name uncultured bacterium. RNAcentral describes it as "partial 16S ribosomal RNA". It matches the Rfam family "Bacterial small subunit ribosomal RNA", at positions 30 to 507 of the family's 1533-position model. The record is from RNAcentral.
AUUGAACGCUGGCGGCAGGCCUAACACAUGCAAGUCGAGCGGAUGAAGGGAGCUUGCUCCUGGAUUCAGCGGCGGACGGGUGAGUAAUGCCUAGGAAUCUGCCUGGUAGUGGGGGAUAACGUCCGGAAACGGGCGCUAAUACCGCAUACGUCCUGAGGGAGAAAGUGGGGGAUCUUCGGACCUCACGCUAUCAGAUGAGCCUAGGUCGGAUUAGCUAGUUGGUGGGGUAAAGGCCUACCAAGGCGACGAUCCGUAACUGGUCUGAGAGGAUGAUCAGUCACACUGGAACUGAGACACGGUCCAGACUCCUACGGGAGGCAGCAGUGGGGAAUAUUGGACAAUGGGCCAAAACCUGAUCCAGCCAUGCCGCGUGUGUGAAGAAGGUCUUCGGAUUGUAAAGCACUUUAAGUUGGGAGGAAGGGCAGUAAGUUAAUACCUUGCUGUUUUGACGUUACCAACAGAAUAAGCACCGGCUAACUUCGUG